This 1014-nucleotide unclassified non-coding RNA is filed under the name Hevea brasiliensis (rubber tree). The record is from RNAcentral. Lineage: Eukaryota; Viridiplantae; Streptophyta; Magnoliopsida; Malpighiales; Euphorbiaceae.
CGGUUCGAUUCGAUUUUUCAUCCACUUCGGUUCGAUUCGGUUUCUAAAAUUUGUAAUUCGGUUAUCGUGAUUUAAUUCGGUUCGGUUUGAACUAAAUGCUCACCCCUAGCUAUCACAUGACCAGAAUAUGCCACAAAUUGCCAUCAAUUUUCUUAUCAGUGAACUCAUCCAGCCAUUUUGACUUAGAUAUAAUCAGCACUACUCAAUCAUUAUAUCAACUAUUCCUGUUCAACCAUUGGUCUAGGCUUUUGCCCAAAGGAAUGCACUUUUUAGGCCUCAACCCGAGCCCAAAACAGCCCUGCAGGUUGGGGCCCAAUUGUAAUAAAAUGUGUUUUUGGUUGGAUUGAGCCGCAAGUAAAGGCAUGUCUCAAACCCAAGCCCACUUUUCAGGCAAGAGUUGAUUGAGCUGGGCCCAGAGAUAAUCCUCCUGCACAAGCCCUGCCCACAGCGGAAGCUAUGGUUUGAGGAUACUAACGAGUCAUCAUUGCCCUAGCAUGCAAUGUGCUGCAACUCGAAACACUCAACCAGUGUGAGUUUGCAAGUAUGUAAUAUUUAAUCAUACAAAUCCAAAUAUGAUUGGUGUUCCAUAAGCCAUCCAAGUUCAAUGAAAGCAACUAAUUAUUACGUGUAAGUUUCUUAGCAGAAAGGCAAGAUGCCUCGUGAUUCUAAACAUUAUGGGCAUAAGAAGCAUUCUUCUAUAAUGUGUAGACAUUAGGGGUACGCAAUAAACGGUUUUAACAGAAACAAUGAAUUGAACCGAUUUACUUCGGUUUUUUUUCAGUUCAAUUUUUGAGUUGUACCAUUUGAUUCAGUUAAUAAUUAAGGAAUUUUGGUUUUCCAUUCAGUUGGUUUAUUUUUGCUAAAAAAACCGAAUAUAAACCAAACCGAUUGAUUCGGGGCUUGGACAGCAUAGGAGGGAAUAAAGGAAGCAAAAUGAAGCCAAAACAGGACAUUCCAGAAGGGGCAGUAGGUUUGUACACUGAGGCACAUGCCCUAGGCAUGUGAUCUUCUGAG